This 902-nucleotide ribosomal RNA is filed under the name uncultured bacterium. RNAcentral's name for it is "bacterial SSU rRNA". It matches the Rfam family "Bacterial small subunit ribosomal RNA", at positions 514 to 1399 of the family's 1533-position model. The record is from RNAcentral.
GCCGGUGAAAUCGGUAGGAGGCAAGGAUUAUCCGAGGUUUCCGGGGUUGAAGGGGAGGGUAGGGCGCACGGGCAAAGCUAGGUUGGAAUUAAGGGGGCCCCACCGCGGAGAAGCGAUGGAAAACUACCAGGGCUGGGAGGGCAGGAAGAGGCCGGGGGAAUUCCUUACUGUAGCCGGUGAAAUGCGUAGAUAUUUAGGGAGGACCCCCAGGGGCGAAGGCGGCCUGCUGGACGGUGACUGACGUGGGGGCUGGAAAGCGUGGGGGGCAAACAGCGAUAAGAUACCCUGGUAGUCCCCGCCCGUAAACGAUGAAUACUAGGUGUCGGGCGGGGCAAAGCCCGCCGGUGCCGCAGCAAACGCAGAAAGUAUUCCCACCUGGGGAGUACGUUCGCAAGAAUGAAACUCAAAGGAAUUGACGGGGACCCGCACAAGCGGUGGAGCAUAUGGUUUAAUUCGAAGCAACGCGAAGAACCUUACCAGGCCUUGACAUCCUGCUGACGGCAUAUGCAAUGUAUGUUCCCUCCGGGGCAGCAGAGACAGGUGGUGCAUGGUUGUCGUCAGCUCGUGUCGUGAGAUGUUGGGUUGAGUCCCGCAACGAGCGCAACCCCUGCCCCCAGUAGCCAGCGCGCAAGGGCGGGCACUCUGGGGGGACUGCCAGGGACAACCUGGAGGAAGGCGGGGAUGACGUCAAAUCAUCAUGCCCCUUAUGGCCUGGGCUACACACGUGCUACAAUGGCGCCCACAAAGGGAGGCGAAAUGGCGACAUGGAGCAAACCCCAGAAAAGGCGCCCCAGUUCGGAUUGCAGCCUGCAACUCGGCUGCAUGAAGCCGGAAUCGCUAGUAAUCGCGGAUCAGAAUGCCGCGGUGAAUACGUUCCCGGGUCUUGUACACACCGCCCGUCA